Molecule: RNase P RNA, 343 nt
Filed under: Aquiluna sp.
Lineage: Bacteria; Bacillati; Actinomycetota; Actinomycetes; Micrococcales; Microbacteriaceae
Description: RNase P RNA component class A
Rfam family: Bacterial RNase P class A
About the family: Ribonuclease P (RNase P) is a ubiquitous endoribonuclease, found in archaea, bacteria and eukarya as well as chloroplasts and mitochondria. Its best characterised activity is the generation of mature 5'-ends of tRNAs by cleaving the 5'-leader elements of precursor-tRNAs. Cellular RNase Ps are ribonucleoproteins.
Source: RNAcentral
AGGGUCGGCCAGACGGUCGCGGCAUUGCCGAGGAACGUCCGGGCUCCGCAGAGCACGGUGGUGGGUAACGCCCACCCAGGGAAACCUGAGAGACAGUGCAACAGAAAGCAAACCGCCCGCAAGGGUAAGGGUGAAACGGUGGUGUAAGAGACCACCAGCAGGCUGGGUGACCAGCCUGGCUAGGUAAACCUCACCGGGAGCAAGACCAUGCAGAAGGCGCUUGAGAGCUGCUCGCUCGAGUCUUCGGGUAGGUCGCUAGAGCCAGUGAGUAAUUGCUGGCCGAGAUAGAUGGCCGUCACGCACUUCGGUGUGACAGAACCCGGCGUAUCGGCCGACCCCUCCA